AGGACGAACGCUGGCGGCGUGCCUAACACAUGCAAGUCGAGCGGGACAUUGCGACGGAGACGAAGUACUCGUACGGAGUCAAAGAUGUAAUGUCUAGCGGCGGACGGGUGAGUAACGCGUGAGCAACCUGUCCCUUACAGGGGGAUAACACAGCGAAAGUUGUACUAAUACCGCAUAAGACCACAGGAUGACAUCGUCCAGGGGUCAAAGGAGCAAUCCGGUAAGGGGUGGGCUCGCGUCCGAUUAGAUAGUUGGUGAGGUAACGGCCCACCAAGUCGACGAUCGGUAGCCGACCUGAGAGGGUGAUCGGCCACAUUGGGACUGAGACACGGCCCAAACUCCUACGGGAGGCAGCAGUGGGGAAUAUUGGGCAAUGGGGGGAAACCCUGACCCAGCAACGCCGCGUGAGGGAAGAAGGUUUUCGGAUCGUAAACCUCUGUCCCAGGUGAAGAGGAAGAGACGGUAGCCUGGGAGGAAGCCCCGGCUAACUACGUGCCAGCCGCUGC
RNAcentral lists this ribosomal RNA (506 nucleotides) under uncultured bacterium. RNAcentral's name for it is "bacterial SSU rRNA". It matches the Rfam family "Bacterial small subunit ribosomal RNA", at positions 26 to 518 of the family's 1533-position model. The record is from RNAcentral.